RNAcentral lists this ribosomal RNA (253 nucleotides) under uncultured bacterium. RNAcentral describes it as "partial 16S ribosomal RNA". It matches the Rfam family "Bacterial small subunit ribosomal RNA", at positions 524 to 776 of the family's 1533-position model. The record is from RNAcentral.
UACGAGUGCACCGAGCGUUAUCCGGAAUUAUUGGGCCUAAAGCAUCCGUAGCCGGUUCUGCAAGUCCUCCGUUAAAUCCAGCUGCUCAACAGAUGGGCCGCGGAGGAUACUACAGAGCUAGGAGGCAGGAGAGGCAAGCGGUACUCAGUGGGUAGGGGUAAAAUCCGUUGAUCCAUUGAAGACCACCAGUGGCGAAGGCGGCUUGCCAGAAUGCGCUCGACGGUGAGGGAUGAAAGCUGGGGGAGCAAACCGG